AGAGUUUGAUCAUGGCUCAGAAUCAACGCUGGCGGCGUGCCUAACACAUGCAAGUCGAACGCGAAAGUGGAGCAAUCCAUGAGUAGAGUGGCAAACGGGUGAGUAAUGCUUUGGAAUCUUCCCAGUAGUGGGGAAUACCAGUCGAAAGAUUGGCUAAUACCGCAUACGUCUGUAAAGGGAAAGCGGGGGCUCGUAAGACCUCGCGCUAUUGGAUGAGCCAAAGUCGGAUUAGCUAGUUGGUGGGGUAAUGGCCUACCAAGGCGACGAUCCGUAGCUGGUCUGAGAGGACGACCAGCCACACCGGAACUGAGACACGGUCCGGACUCCUACGGGAGGCAGCAGUGGGGAAUAUUGGACAAUGGGGGAAACCCUGAUCCAGCGACGCCGCGUGUGUGAAGAAGGCCUGCGGGUUGUAAAGCACUUUUAGUGGGGACAAAAAGCUACGGACUAAUACUCUGUGGUCUUGAUUUAACCCAAAGAAAAAGCACCGGCUAACUCUGUGCCAGCAGCCGCGGUAAUACAGAGGGUGCGAGCGUUAAUCGGAAUUACUGGGCGUAAAGCGCGCGUAGACGGUUUUGUAAGUCAGAUGUGAAAUCCCUGGGCUCAACCUGGGAACUGCAUUUGAGACUGCAUGGCUAGAGUAUGGAAGAGGGAAGUGGAAUUUCCGGUGUAGCGGUGAAAUGCGUAGAUAUCGGAAGGAACACCAGUGGCGAAAGCGACUUCCUGGUCCAAUACUGACGUUCAUGUGCGAAAGCGUGGGGAGCAAACAGGAUUAGAUACCCUAGUAGUCC
RNAcentral lists this ribosomal RNA (791 nucleotides) under uncultured bacterium. Its description in RNAcentral is "bacterial SSU rRNA". It matches the Rfam family "Bacterial small subunit ribosomal RNA", at positions 8 to 796 of the family's 1533-position model. The record is from RNAcentral.